This 607-nucleotide ribosomal RNA is filed under the name Desmodesmus sp. XGR-1-1. RNAcentral's name for it is "eukaryotic LSU rRNA". The stretch from base 160 to 313 matches the Rfam family "5.8S ribosomal RNA". Lineage: Eukaryota; Viridiplantae; Chlorophyta; Chlorophyceae; Sphaeropleales; Scenedesmaceae. The record is from RNAcentral.
UCUAAAAUGCAGCACAACACGCACUCCCUAUUUGUGUACCGACGUUAGGUCAACACACGCAAGUGUGUGGCCUACUAACCUACACACCAUUGACCAACCAAUAAUCAAACCAAACUCUGAAGCUUUGGCUGCUGUUAAUCGGCAGUUUUAACAAAGAACAACUCUCAACAACGGAUAUCUUGGCUCUCGCAACGAUGAAGAACGCAGCGAAAUGCGAUACGUAGUGUGAAUUGCAGAAUUCCGUGAACCAUCGAAUCUUUGAACGCAUAUUGCGCUCGACCCCCCGGGGAAGAGCAUGUCUGCCUCAGCGUCGGUUUACACCCUCACCCCACUUACUUCACAGUAAGCGCUUGCUGCGUUGUAUGACCAGCAACUGGGAUGGAUCUGGCCCUCCCAAUUGAAGCAAUUCGAUUGGGUUGGCUGAAGCACAGAGGCUUAAACUGGGACCCGUACCGGGCUCAACUGGAUAGGUAGCAACACCUUCGGGUGCCUACACGAAGUUGUGUCUGAGGACCUGGUUAGGAGCCAAGCAGGAAACAUGGAAACAUGUACUCUGUAUUCGACCUGAGCUCAGGCAAGGCUACCCGCUGAACUUAAGCAUAUAAAA